This 468-nucleotide ribosomal RNA is filed under the name uncultured bacterium. Its description in RNAcentral is "partial 16S ribosomal RNA". It matches the Rfam family "Bacterial small subunit ribosomal RNA", at positions 28 to 507 of the family's 1533-position model. The record is from RNAcentral.
GACGAACGCUGGCGGCGUGCUUAACACAUGCAAGUCGAACGGAAAGGCCCUGCUUUUGUGGGGUGCUCGAGUGGCGAACGGGUGAGUAACACGUGAGUAACCUGCCCUUGACUUUGGGAUAACUUCAGGAAACUGGGGCUAAUACCGGAUAGGAGCUCCUGCUGCAUGGUGGGGUUUGGAAAGUUUCGGCGGUUGGGGAUGGACUCGCGGCUUAUCAGCUUGUUGGUGGGGUAGUGGCUUACCAAGGCUUCGACGGGUAGCCGGCCUGGGAGGGUGACCGGCCACAUUGGGACUGAGGUACGGACCAGACGGCAACGGGAGGCAGCGGGGGAGAAUAUUGCACAAUGGGCGGAAGCCUGAUGCAGCGGCGCCGGGUGCGGGAUGACGGCCUUCGGGUUAGAAACCGCUUUCGCCUGUGACGAAGCGUGAGUGACGGUAAUGGGUAAAGAAGCACCGGCUAACUACGUG